AGGGUUUGAUUAUGGCUCAGAACGUACGCUGGCGGCACGCCUAACACAUGCAAGUCGAACGAAGUAGCAAUACUUAGUGGCAGACGGGUGAGUAACAUGUAGGUAUCUACCCUUUGGCCUGGAAUAACACGAGGAAACUUGUGCUAAUACUGGAUAAGUCUUUACGGAGAAAGCUUUAUGCACCAUUGGAUGAGCCUGCACUUGAUUAGUUUGUUGGUAGGGUAAUGGCCUACCAAGACUUUGAUCAAUAGCUGAUUUGAGAGGAUGAUCAGCCACAUUGGGACUGAGACACGGCCCAAACUCCUACGGGAGGCAGCAGUGGGGAAUCUUGCACAAUGGAGGAAACUCUGAUGCAGCGAUGCCGCGUGAGUGAAGAAGGCCCUUGGGUUGUAAAGCUCUUUCGUCGGGGAAGAAAAUGACUGUACCCGAAUAAGAAGGUCCGGCUAACUUCGUGCCAGCAGCCGCGGUAAUAC
RNAcentral lists this ribosomal RNA (473 nucleotides) under uncultured bacterium. RNAcentral describes it as "bacterial SSU rRNA". It matches the Rfam family "Bacterial small subunit ribosomal RNA", at positions 8 to 526 of the family's 1533-position model. The record is from RNAcentral.